AUUAAGCCUAUCACAUCUUGUACUAAAGUGACAAUUUUAACCUUCUUAUCAUGACAAAGUUUGGUAUAUUCUCUCUUCAUUACUGAUACAAUUUUUAACUAUCAGGUUCAGAUUUGAUGAGACAUCAAUAAUCUAUUCAAUGUGGGACUUCAUCAUAACCUUAUUCUUCUCAAUACAACUAAAAUGUGUUUAGUUUAAGUUGAUUUUGUUGGCCAACAACUUUCACAUAUCAUCUGCAAUGUUUGAGCAAAUGGAGACCUACAAAUUUUGGAACUUGUUUUUCAGUUAAUAUGUUCCUAUUUUCACCAAAUAAAAAAAAAAUGCAAUCAUUUUUUUUUCUUUUUAAUACAAAUUUCA
This 357-nucleotide unclassified non-coding RNA is filed under the name Hevea brasiliensis (rubber tree). Lineage: Eukaryota; Viridiplantae; Streptophyta; Magnoliopsida; Malpighiales; Euphorbiaceae. The record is from RNAcentral.